GUGAAUCAUCGAAUUUUUGAACGCAAAUUGCACUCCCUGGCAUUCCGGAAAGUAUGCCUGUUUGAGGGUCGGUUAAAUAAAAAUCGGUGUUAUUGCUAUUACUUGUGGAGCAUCGGGCUUGAGUCAUGUUUAGCUUUGGUUUUAAGUGAAUUAAAAUUAUGUACGAUUUCUGUAAGUAUUAAAUUUUUUUACUAACGCUCAUGAUUGCACAUGUUAGGUGCGGUCAUACAUCUGUUUUU
This 239-nucleotide unclassified non-coding RNA is filed under the name Glomus sp. RNAcentral's name for it is "partial contains 5.8S ribosomal RNA and internal transcribed spacer 2". The stretch from base 1 to 71 matches the Rfam family "5.8S ribosomal RNA", at positions 84 to 154 of the family's 154-position model. Lineage: Eukaryota; Fungi; Glomeromycota; Glomeromycetes; Glomerales; Glomeraceae. The record is from RNAcentral.